GCUAGAGAGGCUGGCGUUUGACGUGUGACAACUUUAUUUAUAAAUGUAAUGAUGUGUUCAUAAUGCGGUCAAAUGAAGCAGACCCGAUAAUUAGAGUCGAAACAUUAGGUGCAAUGUUUCAACAAAAACUGCAUGUGGAUUUUACCCACUGGGGUCUAGAUUUUAUUUUUUAUAUACAUUGAUAUGAAAUUAUGUUUCAUCUGUAAACCACUUGACAUACAGAAUCCCACGGAGUUACAUAAUUUAUUACUGAAAUGACACAGAAAAAUGCACAAAUCUUUCGUUGUCCACGAGAAGAAAAUCUUGAACCACGUGGUAAUAAGAAUUCAUUUUUUGGCAACCGUCUCACAGGUGAUGUAAGCUAGUCGGGUCUCUUGGAAAGAAUGCCUGCCUGCUGAAUUGGAAUGUGCUUCCAUUUUCCACGUCCUCUGCCGUCUAAUCGAGUAAUUUUAUGUCGAUUCACGAGACUUCACGUCAUACCCAAUUUCUCGACGGCGUUGACUUGUUCUGAAGUUUCUAAUGCCUACCUCUGUUUCCGAACCAAGGACACGCGCUAAUACGACUGAACAAGCUCAUGUCUCCACCACGAGGACGAAAUGCAGACUGAGAACCGUACAGCAGUGACGAAAUACAAGAACAGGUGGAAGAAUCCAUUUCAUUUCGAGGGGUGACGCGACACAGUUUCAAGGACGAAUUUUACGAAAACCGACCGAGAAUCGAGUCUGGAAGCCCUUAAUACGACGCGCAGUUGCUAACCACUGCACCAGAACGUGCGAUAAGAAAAUGCUGAAACCUCCACGGUGUGGCCCUUGUUCAUGAAAGUUGUACAUCAGAUGGAAGAGAUUUAUUAUCAGGUCGCACCAUCAGUAGGCGAAGCGUGUACCGACUUGAUGGAUGAAGGUGACGUCACAUCAGUACGGGAAAUAGAAGACAAGAAAAAUGAAGGGAGAGUAGCCGAGAAAGGAAAAAAAAAGGUUAAGGUGUUACGCGUGAGGACGUGAGCCUACAUAACGCCAUUUUUUAAACAAUAUCAACAUGAAGAUGGCUGUCUUGUACGUUGUUACGCUUUGUAGUCUUGUGAGUAACGACCGACGUUGUAGAGGUGCUUCCUGCCUCCAUCAUUAGUACCUCUGAAACGUCGGUAAAAUUCUACCAACUACACGGCUCGAACACCUAGAAGACAGCCAUCUUUAUAUUCGCCGCCGAGAGAAAAUAAUAUCUCACUCAAUAUGAAUGCGUUGCUUACAAGGUGGAAUGUCUGAACAUGUAUUACAGGGGCCAAGAAUUCCAUUCGACAACCUUUUCUCUGAAGACUAUCGUUGUUGAUUCGUAGGCUGCAGUGGCGAAGGAAACUGUACAGAUGUCCCAAAAAGAUACAUCGCUGCAUUCAAUGAAUGAAAUAAAGACAUUUUAAUAAUGUAAUAAUAGGUGUGAAAUUUAUUAACAGGGACGACCAUCAGCUUAUCUAGAAGAACUCUACUCCGCACGAGACAGCGUGAUUCCAUAAGACUGCCCAGGAAGAUGAUCAGUUACCAUAACCAAUCAAAAAUAGUUGAUUACGGAAAUAAGUAGGCGGGCGAAACGAAAUAUAAAAAGAAUUAGAAACAACCAAGAAAGAGAAGAAGACGCAUGGUACCACGCCCGAGACACCACGAGCCCGCAAAGGGUCGCGCUGGGAUCCGACACCACCUUUGGAAAGAUGCCACACUUCUCACUGCAGGUGGGGCGGCUGGAGACCUGCCAGCCGAAGCUACAGCCCUCACAAUGCUUAAUUCAUAAUUCUCACCAACUGCAAAAUAAAAAUGUUUUGUUCUGCCAUUUUGA
Long non-coding RNA from Zootermopsis nevadensis, 1824 nucleotides. RefSeq lists it as uncharacterized. Lineage: Eukaryota; Metazoa; Arthropoda; Insecta; Blattodea; Termopsidae. The record is from RefSeq and is a predicted model, not a curated record.